AGCCGAAAUUUGAAGUAGAGCAGAUUAGUAUGGUCAGCUGAUCCUACUAAUCUACUCUAACUUCAAGUUUGUGCUC
Haemonchus contortus (barber pole worm) is the source of this 76-nucleotide non-coding RNA. Lineage: Eukaryota; Metazoa; Nematoda; Chromadorea; Rhabditida; Trichostrongylidae. The record is from Rfam.